Molecule: ribosomal RNA, 254 nt
Filed under: uncultured bacterium
Lineage: Bacteria
Description: partial 16S ribosomal RNA
Rfam family: Bacterial small subunit ribosomal RNA
Source: RNAcentral
UACGUAGGGGGCAAGCGUUGUCCGGAUUUAUUGGGCGUAAAGAGCGUGUAGGCGGCCUGAAAGGUCAGCUGUGAAAACUCGAGGCUCAACCUCGAGACGUCGGUUGAAACCAUCUGGCUAGAGUCCGGAAGAGGAGUGUGGAAUUCCCGGUGUAGCGGUGAAAUGCGCAGAUAUCGGGAAGAACACCCGUGGCGAAGGCGGCACUCUGGGACGGUACUGACGCUGAGACGCGAAAAGCGUGGGGAGCGAACAGG